CGGGGGGCGUCUACCAUGCAGUCGACGAUGAGCCCUUCGGGGUGGAUUAGUGGCGAACGGGUGAGUAACACGGGGGCAAUCUGCCCUUCAGCUCUGGGACAAGCCCUGGAAACGGGGUCUAAUACCGGAUACGACCGCUGACCGCAUGGUUGGUGGUGGAAAGCUCCGGCGGUGAAGGAUGAGCCCGCGGCCUAUCAGCUUGUUGGUGGGGUAAUGGCCUACCAAGGCGACGACGGGUAGCCGGCCUGAGAGGGCGACCGGCCACACUGGGACUGAGACACGGCCCAGACUCCUACGGGAGGCAGCAGUGGGGAAUAUUGCACAAUGGGCGAAAGCCUGAUGCAGCGACGCCGCGUGAGGGAUGACGGCCUUCGGGUUGUAAACCUCUUUCAGCAGGGAAGAAGCGAGAGUGACGGUACCUGCAUAUUUUUUUGCCGGCUAACUACGUGCCAGCAGCCGCGGUAUUACGUAGGGCGCAAGCGUUGUCCGGAAUUAUUGGGCGUAAAGAGCUCGUAGGCGGCUUGUUGCGUCGGAUGUGAAAGCCCGGGGCUUAACCCCGGGUCUGCAUUCGAUACGGGCAGGCUAGAGUGUGGUAGGGGAGAUCGGAAUUCCUGGUGUAGCGGUGAAAUGCGCAGAUAUCAGGAGGAACACCGGUGGCGAAGGCGGAUCUCUGGGCCAUUACUGACGCUGAGGAGCGAAAGCGUGGGGAGCGAACAGGAUUAGAUACCCUGGUAGUCCACGCCGUAAACGUUGGGAACUAGGUGUUGGCGACAUUCCACGUCGUCGUGCCGCAGCUAACGCAUUAAGUUCCCCGCCUGGGGAGUACGGCCGCAAGGCUUAAAACUCAAAGGAAUUGACGGGGGGCCCGGCCCCAAG
This 876-nucleotide ribosomal RNA is filed under the name Streptomyces werraensis. Its description in RNAcentral is "bacterial SSU rRNA". It matches the Rfam family "Bacterial small subunit ribosomal RNA", at positions 40 to 929 of the family's 1533-position model. Lineage: Bacteria; Bacillati; Actinomycetota; Actinomycetes; Kitasatosporales; Streptomycetaceae. The record is from RNAcentral.